Molecule: transfer RNA, 74 nt
Filed under: Lactococcus phage AM1
Lineage: Duplodnaviria; Heunggongvirae; Uroviricota; Caudoviricetes
Also listed under: 8 other names
Description: tRNA-Trp
Rfam family: tRNA
About the family: Transfer RNA (tRNA) molecules are approximately 80 nucleotides in length. Their secondary structure includes four short double-helical elements and three loops (D, anti-codon, and T loops).
Source: RNAcentral
UGGUUGGUAGCUCAGUUGGUAGUAGCACUAGUCUCCAAAACUAGGUGUCGUGAGUUCGAAUCUCACCCAAUCAG